Molecule: non-coding RNA, 3912 nt
Organism: Amborella trichopoda
Lineage: Eukaryota; Viridiplantae; Streptophyta; Magnoliopsida; Amborellales; Amborellaceae
Source: RefSeq, a predicted model, not a curated record
UGGAACUUUAUUUUUGUGAGCCCUGCCCGAUAAUCCUAGCUCCAUUUCGCAGACCAGAAGCAAGUCCACCGCCGCCAUCUUCAGGUUCGACCUCUCUCUCCAGGCUGUGUCUCCGCCAUCUCUCAUAACUAUCGGUUCACAGAUAGCCCUCCGUCCGCCAUCUCUCACACAGGUUCGAGCUCUCUCUUCGCCAUCUGUCAACGAGCUCACGGUUCGCAGAUAGCCCUCCAUCCGCCUCUCUCACACAGAUAAACAGAGAAGCAAUUCGCAGAGCCCUCCUCCAUCUCUCACAAGAGCCUCCUCUCUGCCAUCUCACCGCCAUCCCCUCUCUCUGCCAUCUCUUAAAAGCACUAGUUCUUCUUUGAGAAGCAGUUCGCAGAGAGCUCUUUCUCCGUCAUCUCUCACACAAAGAGCUCGAAAUAUAUAUUUUUGGAGAAAUCAUCAGUAAGUAGAACUUCAUUCUGAGCUUUUUCGAGUCAUCAACCUCCCACUCUCCAUUAACAGGUAUGGGUUUUUUUUGUUUUUUUUCUACAUACCUAAUUCUCUUGCUCGAAAAAUUAGGGUUUUUCUGCGUAUCAUUUUAUUUAGUGCUAAAUUUGUCUCUAACUGAUUGUUCAAAAUAAUAUUAGGGCUUUUGAUGCAUUUAAGUUAUUGAUGCAUAUGUUGUAUGAUUCCAUUUUUUUUCCUUGAAUUUUAUGUCAUUCCUUUCCAUAUUUUAGGGGGGAAAAACAUUAUUGCGUAGAUCUUUUUUAAUAUCAUACUAUUAAGGCUUUUGAUGCAUUAUCUUUUUUAAUCAUUUGUGUAGUUCUAUGGGCUUUCUAUUUCUUUAUUAUUUACGCAAUACUGGUUUUUAUUUUCUUGGUUUGAGUUUUUCAAUUCAUUCUCUGAACAGUGGUUUGUUUUGCUAUCGUGAUAUACAAUAAUAAAUGUUGAUGAAUGACUGAUUAUAUAGAAUAUAAUAGAUCUGUUAUUUCCCUAUAAUAGGACGGACCCACACAUGUCAUCAAGCAUAAUGAAUGAGAAUAUAGGAUCCAAAAGGAACUUGCAAUUGACACAAGCAGAAGAAGAUUAUUUCAUUGAACUUAUGGAGAAGGAGACCAGGGCUGUAGGGAACACGGGGGAGGGGGUUUAAAAAAGGUGUCUGGAAACGGAUGGUAGAAGCAAUGACAAUUAAAUAUGGGCCAGUAAACAAGGAAAGUAGGUGAAGGAGCAAGCACAAGUUCUUCAGAAACAUGUACAAUAACAUAAAAAAACUUAUGGCUGUAUCCGGAUUUGGAUGGGAUGAAAAUAAGAGAAUAGCAACCGUCGAGAGUGCUGUUUGGAAUGACUUCUUAGCGGUAUGUAAUUACUCAUUUGCAUAGGCUUUUAAAAUGUUGAAUACGUUUAAAUAUGAAUAUCGUUAAAAAUAAUUUAUGAUCUUUCAUAUGCAAGCGAAUGAUUGGGCCAAUAAAUAUCAUAACAAGACUUUGCCUGAAUUUUCGCUGCUAAGUAAGAUCUAUGAGGGCAGCACAGUAGAUGAGACUUACAAAUUUACUGGGGGUGGCAUUAGAAUUGAGCCAGAAAGGCCCAACGCUGCAUUAUCUAAUGACCCCCCUUUAGAAGUCCAAGUCAAAUCUAGCUCAUCCUUAUCUGAUGGCCUAGUAUCAUCUGGAACCAAAAGACGACAGUCCCAAACUUCGAUAGGAACCCAUCGUCGAUUAAAGCAACCCACCUUCAAUGACUCCAUGACUGAAGCCAUGACAAAGAUGGCCAAUACCAUUGAGAUGCUAGUACGUGACACCACAGGUAACAGUAGUGUGGUGGAUGGUCCCAACGCUAGGAGAGAGGCCUUAAAGAUUGUUGAAGGCAUGUGGAGAGCAGGUGAAGUUGGUGAUAAUGUCCUUAUAAUGGCGGUAAGGAUCUUCCAAGAUUCUACAAAGGCGGAGAUGUUAAUACUUGGAGGAUCGAAGGAUGCAAAGGGCUUACUUGGAUGAAGAGAUGAAAUGCCUCUAAAUACUUGAUUGACUAUGUUUUCAUUAUGGAUGUGGAUGGCUUCUUUCAUAUUAUGGUUUGAUAAAGAUUACUUUAUGGUUUGCAUUUUAUAAAUAUGUAUUGGAUGAGUUCUUUCAUUUGUAUGUGGAUGAUUUCUUUCAAUUUAAUGUCAAAGGUUGCUGCAUGUUUUUCUUUAUGGAUGUGGAUGGCUUCUUUCAUUUAAUGGUUUGAUUAAAGAUUGUUUUAAUGGUUUGCAUCUUAUAAAUAUGUAUGUGGAUGGCUUCUUUCGUUUUAAUGUCAAAGAUUGGUUUCAUUUAAUGGUUUGAUUAAAGAUUGCGUUAAUGGUUUGCAUCUUAUAAAUAUGUAUGUGGGUGGCUUCAUUCAUAUAAUAGUUUGGUUAAAGAUUACUUUAUGGUUGUGGAUGUCUUCUUCCAUUUCUAGUUAUGGAUCCCCAACGACGUCGGUUGACGGUAAUAUUACGUGCUGCAUAUACAAUGUGUAUUGGUAUAUCACUACGCAAAAGUGGAGAAAGCGUGUUCAUACUUCAAUUUUUUCUGGGCCCAAUUAUGUUCAAUACUUGUUGUCAGGACACCCUCGUAAGUGCUUUGACCAGUUACGAAUGGAAAGAUGUGCUUUUAUCAGUCCGUACAGUUUGUUAAAGGAGAGGACACACAUUACAGAUACAAGAUAUUUGGCAGUUGAUGAGCAAAUAGCCAUAUUUUUAAGCACCGUCACACACGAUCAACAGAAUAGGGUUCCAACAUUCAGGGCAAACCAUAAGUUACUAUUUCCAUAGAGUUUUACAAGCCAUCUUAAAAUUGGAACCCUUGUUCUUACAACCAUCAAGCAAUGAAACAUCGGCCCACAUUGUUGGUGUUACACUACGAUUUUACCUAUAUUUCAAGGUAUGCGAGUGUCAAGUAAUUCACAUUGGUGUUCUCACAUCCACUGAGAUCUAAUAUAUAAUAGUAUGAUUCUUUUAUCUUAAUAGGAUUGUGUCGGAGCUAUUGAUGGGACUCAUGUCCCUGCUCGAGUUCGUAGUCGAUUGCAUAAUCGUUUUCGAAACAGAAAAGGUUUUCUAAGCCAGAAUGUUAUGGCUACGGUUGGUUUUGAUAUGCGUUUUCAUUAUGUACUUGCAGUUUGGGAAGGAUCUGCAUCAGAUUCUAAAGUCCUAUAUGACGCAAUUAGUAAUGAACGCAGUAGGCUUGCAGUGCCUGAGGGUAACUCUAUUCCUGCUUAUGUUUCGUUGCUUAGGUCUAUACAAUAUUUUUAGUGUAAUAUUUGGCCUUACAAUAUACUCAUUGCACAAACAUGGUACAAUAAAAUAUUCCCUUGUAGAUGGUGGGUAUUCUACUAUGCAUGAUUUCAUAGGACCAUAUCGAAGAGUCCGUUACUAUCUAAACGAAUUUACUUCAGGCCCAUGAACUCCUUAAAAUCACAAUGAGUUAUUCAACAAGCGGCAUUCUACGCUUAGAAAUGUGGUGGAGAGGACAUUUGGACUUUAGAAGACCAGAUUUCCUGUACUCAAGAAUCAAAUGCAGUAUCCUUUACGAACACAGGUCGAUGUAGUUAUUGCAUGUGCACUAUUGUACAACUAAAUCAUGAUGAUAUGGGGAGCCGAAAGCAGAAGAGAGCUACGUUUUCGAAGGAGGGAUGAGAGUCAACUCGUAAUUAACGGAGGUGAUGGUUUUUUGCAAUUGACUAAGGGGCACGCUGAUCAUGAUGUUGGCGUCAAUCUGCGAGAUGCCAUGGCGACGCAGUUGUGAGAGGCCUACCUAAAUCACUAGCAUUUGUAAUUAAACGUUGUUCUACAUGUAAUAUGGACCUUAUUUUGUAGCUACAAAUAUUGAGUCCUCGUCGAAUGUUGUCUUCAUUCUAUUGCAUUUUGAAUUAUGUAUGGUUAAGCUAUUACAAGUUAUUGUUGAAUGGGCUGGUUUUAUA